AUUUAUUUAGUUUAAAAAAAAACAUUAUAUUUUCAAUAUAAAAAUAAAUUAAUUAUUUAAUAAUUG
RNAcentral lists this transfer RNA (66 nucleotides) under Trissolcus japonicus. RNAcentral's name for it is "tRNA-Glu". Lineage: Eukaryota; Metazoa; Arthropoda; Insecta; Hymenoptera; Scelionidae. The record is from RNAcentral.